UCUGGUGACGAUGGCGAAGUGGACACACCUGUUCCCAUCCCGAACACAGAAGUUAAGCACUUCAGCGCCGAAAAUAGUUCUAAGGAGCGAAAAUAGGUCGUUGCCAGGC
Tenericutes bacterium GWF2_38_8 is the source of this 109-nucleotide non-coding RNA. NCBI's taxonomy places the organism in Bacteria, Bacillati, Mycoplasmatota. The record is from Rfam.